UAAGGAAUAUUGGUCAAUGGACGCAAGUCUGAACCAGCCAUGCCGCGUGAAGGAUGAAGGUCCUCUGGAUUGUAAACUUCUUUUAUCUGGGACGAAAACGGGAUUUUUAUCUCAAUUGACGGUACCAGAGGAAUAAGCACCGGCUAACUCCGUGCCAGCAGCCGCGGUCAUACGGAGGGUGCGAGCGUUAUCCGGAUUUACUGGGUUUAAAGGGUGCGUAGGUGGGCUUAUAAGUCAGUGGUGAAAUCUCCGAGCUUAACUUGGAAACUGCCGUUGAUACUAUAGGUCUUGAAUUAUCUGGAGGUAAGCGGAAUAUGUCAUGUAGCGGUGAAAUGCUUAGAUAUGACAUAGAACACCAAUUGCGAAGGCAGCUUACUACAUAUAAAUUGACGCUGAGGCACGAAAGCGUGGGGAUCAAACA
This 421-nucleotide ribosomal RNA is filed under the name uncultured bacterium. RNAcentral describes it as "bacterial SSU rRNA". It matches the Rfam family "Bacterial small subunit ribosomal RNA", at positions 355 to 774 of the family's 1533-position model. The record is from RNAcentral.